UACGUAGGUGGCAAGCGUUGUCCGGAUUUACUGGGCGUAAAGAGCGCGCAGGUGGUUCAUUGCGUCGUGCGUGAAAGACCCCGGCUCAACUGGGGAGGGUCGUGCGAAACGGGUGAACUAGAGGCCAGUAGGGGGAUGUGGAAUUCCGGGUGUAGUGGUGGAAUGCGUAGAGAUCCGGAGGAACACCAGCGGCGAAGGCGGCAUCCUGGACUGGUCCUGACACUCAGGAGCGAAAGCGUGGGGAGCGAUCCGG
RNAcentral lists this ribosomal RNA (253 nucleotides) under uncultured bacterium. RNAcentral's name for it is "partial 16S ribosomal RNA". It matches the Rfam family "Bacterial small subunit ribosomal RNA", at positions 524 to 776 of the family's 1533-position model. The record is from RNAcentral.